AGUGAACGCUGGCGGUAGGCCUAACACAUGCAAGUCGAACGGCAGCACAGUAAGAGCUUGCUCUUACGGGUGGCGAGUGGCGGACGGGUGAGGAAUACAUCGGAAUCUACUUUUUCGUGGGGGAUAACGUAGGGAAACUUACGCUAAUACCGCAUACGACCUACGGGUGAAAGCAGGGGAUCUUCGGACCUUGCGCGAUUGAAUGAGCCGAUGUCGGAUUAGCUAGUUGGCGGGGUAAAGGCCCACCAAGGCGACGAUCCGUAGCUGGUCUGAGAGGAUGAUCAGCCACACUGGAACUGAGACACGGUCCAGACUCCUACGGGAGGCAGCAGUGGGGAAUAUUGGACAAUGGGCGCAAGCCUGAUCCAGCCAUACCGCGUGGGUGAAGAGGGCCUUCGGGUUGUAAAGCCCUUUUGUUGGGAAAGAAAAGCAGCAGGUUAAUACCCCGCCGUUCUGACGGUACCCAAAGAAUAAGCACCGGCUAACUUCGUG
RNAcentral lists this ribosomal RNA (492 nucleotides) under uncultured bacterium. Its description in RNAcentral is "partial 16S ribosomal RNA". It matches the Rfam family "Bacterial small subunit ribosomal RNA", at positions 29 to 507 of the family's 1533-position model. The record is from RNAcentral.